UACAGAGGUGGCAAGCGUUGUUCGGAAUUACUGGGCGUAAAGGGCGCGUAGGCGGCCUGCUAAGUCGAACGUGAAUCCCGGCCGUCACCACGGGAACUGCGUCCGAUACUGGCAGGCUUGAAUUCGGGAGAGGGAUGCGGAAUUCCAGGUGUAGCGGUGAAAUGCGUAGAUAUCUGGAGGAACACCGGUGGCGAAGGCGGCAUCCUGGACCGAAAUUGACGCUGAGGCGCGAAAGCCAGGGGAGCAAACGGG
This 252-nucleotide ribosomal RNA is filed under the name uncultured bacterium. RNAcentral describes it as "partial 16S ribosomal RNA". It matches the Rfam family "Bacterial small subunit ribosomal RNA", at positions 524 to 776 of the family's 1533-position model. The record is from RNAcentral.